CGUCAUAUCCAAGAAUAAUCAAGGCUGUAACCGCUGCCAAAGGACAGUGGGGUGGACUGUCAGCUCUCAAACCUUCGUGAGGAGGACACUGUAGAAGCUGUCCCCACGGUGACAAGGACUGGCAGGGACAACAUGCUGCUGAGGCUGAAGAAAGGGCUGAGGGACAAUCGCACCCUCACAGGACAUACCCUCACAGCCCAGGGUGAACCUGGCGUGGGCUACACUGAGCUGACAGAGGAGUGUAGGGCAGCCCAGCCCCCAAAGGGACUCUUAUCAAAUAUAUACAAGAAUUCCUCUGUGUUGCCUUAGGUAAUACAUCUCUCUCUACUACAGGAGCUGGGUCGUGUCAGAGGUCUGGCUGUCAAGCAGACUGAGAUCCCGAGGAAGGCAUCCCACGAGCAGAUGGCUCAGUAUGUCCAAACGCACGAUGCAAAUGUUAAAGAAUAUACUCCAUAUUGACGUUGAAUCAAAUAGAUUGACCACUUUGCUCAGACUGGUUUCUCUUCACUUGCAGAGGGACAUAAUGUGUGCUUGCAAGGUCAGUCUGGUUUAGGGAGGUUCUAGAAAUACAGUACGUUUGAUGCCAUGCCAACUGAUGCCUGUCCCCCUCCCCCACCCCUCCAGGUGUUAGAUACUGCCCAGCGUUGCUCCCCGUCCAGAUCCAUUUUGAUGACAAUAUCCCUGAGAUGAAUGUUGUAUAUAAUGUUAUGGCUAUGAUGGUUACAGGUUUGAAUGAGACAAUGUAUUCCUCUAACAUUAUUCUUUCAAUAAAGUUCAUUGUUUCAUUAAUAUUA
Molecule: long non-coding RNA, 794 nt
Organism: Salvelinus sp. IW2-2015
Lineage: Eukaryota; Metazoa; Chordata; Actinopteri; Salmoniformes; Salmonidae
Source: RefSeq, a predicted model, not a curated record